RNAcentral lists this long non-coding RNA (4715 nucleotides) under Gossypium barbadense (sea-island cotton). RNAcentral's name for it is "long non-coding RNA (GBAR_LNC015746)". Lineage: Eukaryota; Viridiplantae; Streptophyta; Magnoliopsida; Malvales; Malvaceae. The record is from RNAcentral.
UUUAGCAAACCUGGCAGCUCCCUUAGUCCCCUAUCUAUAGAAAAUUCAGAGCAUUUACACACAGCUUCUCCCUUCUGUAAGAAAAAGAAUUGAGGUAGGGAACAACAAUGAAAGCCGCAAUGGGAAACUUGACCAUGGAAUCAAAAUUUACAAAUUAGGAAACAACCCUAAUUUUUGAGAUGCCAAUAAAGAACCUUUGGUAGAUUAUUAACUUAAUUGUAAGGUGCCCAUGCAAACAUAGUGACAUUGAAAUUUAAAGAAAUGCAUCUUUGUUGUAUGAAAUUUACUGCUAUUGCAGCAUUUUCUGUAUUUCUGAUUCAUCUGUUUCAGUCUCCCAAUCAUCUUAACAUUUUAGCUCUCGCUAGUUUACCCAUGAAAACACGUCGAUUUACUAGGGUUCUUUCUAUUAUACUGGAGACUAGCAGAGAAAUUUUUUAUUAUAUUGGAGACUAGAAGAGAAAAUUCAAAUUAAACUCCAAUGUCCAAUCUUAAAAUCUGCUCUUUUUUUUUUUUUUUGCAAUUCACUGUUCUCAACGAUGAUACAUCAUUCCACUGCCGGAUUAGCACCAACUUGAAAGACAAUAGAAACCCAAGAGGAAAAAAAAAGCUUAAAACUGAAAUAAAAAUGGCAGAUAACUAAGUGGACCCUAAAAGUACACCGAUAUUAGCUAAGACAUUGAGAAACCUCGUAUAACAGAGGGGCUGAUGGUUCUGUCUACUUGGAUCUCUGUCUCAUCUUUCGGCGCUUCCGCUUCAGUCUUCUCAUGCGCUUCUUCUUCCACUGUUACAUAUCAUGUAAGAUGCCAUAAAUGAAACAUUAUUCAAAGAUCUAUUGUAUAAAUAAGAACAAAUUGAGACAAAAAGGAAAACAGUAUUACCUUGGCUCUCAUGGUGAUAGGAUAAAAGGAAACUUGAUGCCGCCUUCUCGGUUAUUCGUUGAACCCUAGCCGGAUGCAGAGGCGGCAAUCAAUUGCUGGCAAGGAUUUUUACCAUCUACACCAUUUAUAUAUAUAACCUAUACAGCCCUAGCAGGAAGGGAUACCGACCCGAUCCAGAUUCAACAAUAUUGGAUUACUUGAACUUGGGCCAACGGUUAGAAAAUAAUUUCUUUCCAAAUGACCCAAUAUCAUAUAUAGGUUUCCCUGAAAGAGAAGAACAUAUUGCUCCAAAUUGUUAUUUACUAAUUUAAAUUUAAUUUAAAAAUAUAGUGAAUUUGGGUUAAGGGUCGAGACGAAGAGUGGUAAAGCUGAUUAGCUCUGUUUGUUUCAGUGGAGGCUAAUUAAAUACAGGAAAACCAUGCAUCUGUGAAAUUUAAUUCCAGCAGGGCAGCUCAAUGGAUUUGCAUACGAUUUGCCAUGAUAUAUACAGUAUGGAUGGCAAUCGGUCGAGUUGGAUGGAUCUCAGGGCGAAGCCACAACAAUUUAAUUUUUUAAGGGCAGAAUGAAACUUUAAUUUUUUUUUUUCAGAAUGAAACUUUAAUUUUUUUUUAUAGUUUACAUAUUUAUAAUUUUUAAAAAAUUAAAUUAAAUUAAAUUUUUAUAAUUUUAUUUAUUUUUAUUAAUUUUAAAUUUUAAAAAAAUUAAGGGCCUAAAUAAUAAUUUUUUAUUUUAGGGGAGACCGGCCCCUGUCAACGCUUUAGAUUCGCCUCUAAUGGAUAUUGUUAUAUUAAUUACCUUUUCAUAAUUGGAUGUAUAAUCUUAAAAUUUAUUAUCACUUCCAUGGAUGUUGGAUGCAUAUUGCUUUUUAUUUUUAAUUUUUUUUCAAUAGUUUUAUAGUCAAGUAAAUAUUUAAACAUAAUUCUUCAAAAAAUAUUUAAACAUAAAAUAUAUUUUUUUUUCUACAUUACAUUUUUACCCUUUUAAUAGUUUAUAUAUACAAUAGUAAAAUGGUAAGUGUAUAUAGUGGACCGAGUAGGAGUUGAUACGAGCAACCCGACCCAACUCAAGGUCUAUAAUGGAAAUAGGCUUAAUUUUUAUAAAGCCCAAUCACAAAAUCCAAAUCCAAGCAAUUGAAAUCAAAACUCAAUUUAUUUGUUUAAGACUUUAUCACAAAUAAAUUUUGAGAAGAAGAAUUCAAGCUUCAAAACCAUGGAUUUUGGAGUUCAAUACGGAGUAAUGAUAAAUUAAAAGGGUCCAAUUUUAUUUGUGAACUUAAAAUCUCAAUUCAUGAUAACAAGCCCAUGUGGAAGAUAUUAACAAAUUUAGACAUUACACUUCAAGGAUCCCAUUCAAGCCCACAUGCGUGGCAAUGUUAUAAUCAGUCGAUUUGUAGUGCAUUUUUGAAAGGGAUUCGGGCAUUUUUAGGUCAAUAAGUCCUAAUAUUGACUGAAUAUUAUUCUCUUAGCUUCGCAAUGCACUUCGAAUCACUCAAUUUUUAGUUCAAUAACACAAAUUAUAGUAAAGACUAUGCACAUAGAAUUUUUGGACAAGAUUGUUAUGAGAAAUUAUGAGUUUUAGGCUUUAAUUUGAGUAUAAAUCAUAUUGCAUUCGAUAAUUAAACUUAAAUUUUAUUAUUUAUGAGUCAAAUAUUGUAUUUAUUAGGUUUUAUUAUUUAUUUAUUUCGAAUUUUAAAAUAUUUUGUUAGGUAUUUUAAGUUGUUUAAGAAUUUUAUAUUUGUUAGUAAACAAGAAAAUUAGUUAACCCAUAUAAAGUUCGUCAUUGUUAAUUAGAAACAAUUAUUUUUAAUUAAUAAAAAUUUCAAUUCUGAGAGUUAGUUCUUUUAUACAAUAUUUUGAGAGUUAGGUCAUUACUUGAAUUUGUUAGAUUUAUAUGUCAAAGGGUUCAAUUGAACACUUAUUCAUUUAUUCAUUGGUUUAACAAUAAGAUUGACACGAGGUUUAGAAUUCAAUCCCUAUCUUUAUAACUUUUUUUUCUAUUAUAGCGUAAUUGUUCAGGGUAAGGAGUAUAUAAAGCAAAUCUCAGGAAAUAGUAGAACAGAAUUCUGUGUUUGUAAUUUACUGUAUAAGGAUUGAAAGGCCAGCUUAAUUGCAUGCACUCAUAAAUAACUGGUUAAAAAUAGCAACUUAGCGUGCAUGAGGGGAUGGUAUGAUUUGCAUUAAUUAAUACCAAUAAAGUCUUUGCUUUGAUUUUUCCAAGUUAGCUGAAACUUCCAACAAGCCAAAGUUUUCAUGACCAUAACACUAAAGAAAAGCCGAUAGAAGAAGAGCAGUGAGUAUACACGAGAAGUUUACAGCAAACAAUAAUACACAAAGAAGGCAGCUUUAUCGUUGGUGAAAACUUACAUUCCUGAAGGUAAUUCGGAGGUUACUCGAUUCAAACACCAAUAAUAAUAGUUCACAAAGAAAGAAGCGGAAAAGGCAAACCAACUUCUUGUAAUAUGGCGUCCAAGACUGACUGCUCAAAACUCAGGCCUUUCAAGGGGAAAAUGAAAGAUUUGAUUGGUCUGCUCAAAAUUUCCAAGCUCACAUUAUAACUUGAUUGGGUGUCGAAUUGGUGGAAAUUUUAUUAACGAAAUUGAAAAUUCUAAUAGAGACUUUUUUUUUGCAAUUUUAUUCUCCAAUCUCCAUUGACUAUUCGAGUCUUCCUGCACAGCUUUAAAAGUUAUGCCGCAUCCAUUAAUAUGGAAACCUGUUUUUCUUUUUUCAUGAGAGAUUGAGUUAGUCAUUUCUCCUUCAUUGCUUUCCCUAUGACCUCUGCCAUUGUCUUUCUUUAUCCUCAGAAAAAAUGAGGAUUUCACUGCUUUCAGGGCUCUUCUUUUAUUCAUAUAUUGCAACUGUCUUUAUCAUCACUGCGGUUUUGGUUUCUGGAAAAUGUCAAAGCCAUCAGCAAGGGUUGCUGCUCGGAUUGAGGAAAGGCCUGAAUUCUUCUUUAUCUGCAAAGUUAUUGAACUGGGACCGAAGCAUGGAUUGCUAUUCUUGAGAUGGUAUAACCUGCGAUGAAAGUGGUCGGGUUAUUAUACUCAACUUGAGCAACCAAUUAAUUUCCGGAACAAUUGAUAAUUCGAGUGGUCUUUUCAAUUUUCAGCAUCUUCAGCAGCUUAAUUUGGCUUAUAUUAUAACACACUCAGCUUCAGUUUUCCUUGUGGGUUUGACAAGUUGUGAUUAGCAUAGAUGUUGUUUUUGAUGAAAUUGCUAUGCUACCUAACUUAUCUCUUAAAGGCUCUUCCAAUAAAGAAAACCAAAAGCAGGUAGAACAUCAAAUUAAUCCAGAUAGAGUUGCUUCUUCACCACAAUACUCUAUCGCCAAAAAUAGAACUAGAAGAGAAAUUAAACAUCUAAAGAAGUAUGUUAAGUCUAAUCUAGUUGCAAAGGGUUACACUCAAAUUUUAGGAGCGGACUUCACAUAUGUGUUCUCCCUAGUUGUAAAGUAUAGUUCGAUUUGAGCUUUGCUUGAUAUUAUGGCCAUGCAUGAUUUGGAGCUUGACCAGUUAGAUGUAAAAACUAUUUUUGUAUGGAGAGCUUGAUGAGGAUAUUUACAUGUAACAACUAGAGGGUUUUACAGUCUCAGAAAAAGAGGACUAUGUUUGCUUGCUGAAAAAGUCUCUUUACAGUUUUAAACAGUCACCAAGACAGUGGUACAAUAGGUUUGAUUCAUUUAUGACUUCUCAUUAUUUUAAAAGAAGUAUCUUUGACAGUUGUGUUUAUUUUAAGAAAAACAAUGAUGGUUCUUUUAUGUAUCUACUCCUUUAUGUUAAUGACAUGUUAAUAGCAGCGAAAGAUAAAUGAGAGAUAAGAAAGGUCAAAACUCAACUAAGUG